UUAAGCGACUAAGCGUACACGGUGGAUGCCCUGGCAGUCAGAGGCGAUGAAGGACGUGCUAAUCUGCGAUAAGCGUCGGUGAGGUGAUAUGAACCGUUAUAACCGGCGAUUUCCGAAUGGGGAAACCCAGUGUGUUUCGACACACUAUCAUUAACUGAAUCCAUAGGUUAAUGAGGCGAACCGGGGGAACUGAAACAUCUAAGUACCCCGAGGAAAAGAAAUCAACCGAGAUUCCCCCAGUAGCGGCGAGCGAACGGGGAGGAGCCCAGAGCCUGAAUCAGUGUGUGUGUUAGUGGAAGCGUCUGGAAAGGCGUGCGAUACAGGGUGACAGCCCCGUACACAAAAAUGCACAUAUUGUGAGCUCGAUGAGUAGGGCGGGACACGUGGUAUCCUGUCUGAAUAUGGGGGGACCAUCCUCCAAGGCUAAAUACUCCUGACUGACCGAUAGUGAACCAGUACCGUGAGGGAAAGGCGAAAAGAACCCCGGCGAGGGGAGUGAAAAAGAACCUGAAACCGUGUACGUACAAGCAGUGGGAGCCUCUUAAUGGGGUGACUGCGUACCUUUUGUAUAAUGGGUCAGCGACUUAUAUUCUGUAGCAAGGUUAACCGAAUAGGGGAGCCGAAGGGAAACCGAGUCUUAACUGGGCGUUAAGUUGCAGGGUAUAGACCCGAAACCCGGUGAUCUAGCCAUGGGCAGGUUGAAGGUUGGGUAACACUAACUGGAGGACCGAACCGACUAAUGUUGAAAAAUUAGCGGAUGACUUGUGGCUGGGGGUGAAAGGCCAAUCAAACCGGGAGAUAGCUGGUUCUCCCCGAAAGCUAUUUAGGUAGCGCCUCGUGAAUUCAUCUCCGGGGGUAGAGCACUGUUUCGGCAAGGGGGUCAUCCCGACUUACCAACCCGAUGCAAACUGCGAAUACCGGAGAAUGUUAUCACGGGAGACACACGGCGGGUGCUAACGUCCGUCGUGAAGAGGGAAACAACCCAGACCGCCAGCUAAGGUCCCAAAGUCAUGGUUAAGUGGGAAACGAUGUGGGAAGGCCCAGACAGCCAGGAUGUUGGCUUAGAAGCAGCCAUCAUUUAAAGAAAGCGUAAUAGCUCACUGGUCGAGUCGGCCUGCGCGGAAGAUGUAACGGGGCUAAACCAUGCACCGAAGCUGCGGCAGCGACACUAUGUGUUGUUGGGUAGGGGAGCGUUCUGUAAGCCUGUGAAGGUGGCCUGUGAGGGUUGCUGGAGGUAUCAGAAGUGCGAAUGCUGACAUAAGUAACGAUAAAGCGGGUGAAAAGCCCGCUCGCCGGAAGACCAAGGGUUCCUGUCCAACGUUAAUCGGGGCAGGGUGAGUCGACCCCUAAGGCGAGGCCGAAAGGCGUAGUCGAUGGGAAACAGGUUAAUAUUCCUGUACUUGGUGUUACUGCGAAGGGGGGACGGAGAAGGCUAUGUUGGCCGGGCGACGGUUGUCCCGGUUUAAGCGUGUAGGCUGGUUUUCCAGGCAAAUCCGGAAAACCAAGGCUGAGGCGUGAUGACGAGGCACUACGGUGCUGAAGCGACAAAUGCCCUGCUUCCAGGAAAAGCCUCUAAGCAUCAGGUAACAUCAAAUCGUACCCCAAACCGACACAGGUGGUCAGGUAGAGAAUACCAAGGCGCUUGAGAGAACUCGGGUGAAGGAACUAGGCAAAAUGGUGCCGUAACUUCGGGAGAAGGCACGCUGAUAUGUAGGUGAAGCGACUUGCUCGUGGAGCUGAAAUCAGUCGAAGAUACCAGCUGGCUGCAACUGUUUAUUAAAAACACAGCACUGUGCAAACACGAAAGUGGACGUAUACGGUGUGACGCCUGCCCGGUGCCGGAAGGUUAAUUGAUGGGGUUAGCGGUAACGCGAAGCUCUUGAUCGAAGCCCCGGUAAACGGCGGCCGUAACUAUAACGGUCCUAAGGUAGCGAAAUUCCUUGUCGGGUAAGUUCCGACCUGCACGAAUGGCGUAAUGAUGGCCAGGCUGUCUCCACCCGAGACUCAGUGAAAUUGAACUCGCUGUGAAGAUGCAGUGUACCCGCGGCAAGACGGAAAGACCCCGUGAACCUUUACUAUAGCUUGACACUGAACAUUGAGCCUUGAUGUGUAGGAUAGGUGGGAGGCUUUGAAGUGUGGACGCCAGUCUGCAUGGAGCCGACCUUGAAAUACCACCCUUUAAUGUUUGAUGUUCUAACGU
This 2200-nucleotide ribosomal RNA is filed under the name Escherichia coli UMEA 3161-1. Its description in RNAcentral is "bacterial LSU rRNA". It matches the Rfam family "Bacterial large subunit ribosomal RNA", at positions 1 to 2228 of the family's 2925-position model. Lineage: Bacteria; Pseudomonadati; Pseudomonadota; Gammaproteobacteria; Enterobacterales; Enterobacteriaceae. The record is from RNAcentral.